Molecule: unclassified non-coding RNA, 190 nt
Filed under: uncultured Ascomycota
Lineage: Eukaryota; Fungi; Ascomycota
Description: sequence contains ITS2
Source: RNAcentral
UCACCCCUCAAGCCUGGCUUGGUGUUGGACCCCCGGUUGGGUUGGGCUUUCCCACCCGUCGCUGGUCCCAAAGAUAACGACGGGCGUCUGCUUGAGGACACCAGUACACUGAGCUUCUUCGCGGGCACGUACUCGGCCUCGCCCUCGCAGGCCCGGUCUCCCACCGGUCCCCACGGGGACCGUGUCUCCA